CGUGUUGCCACGGGCACGCACCAUCCAGAGGCUGAUGCGCUGCCGUAGCCAGGCAGGCAGGCAGGCAGGGAGACAGGCAGGGGGGCAGGAAGGGUGUUUCCCGAGGCUCUGCACCUCUCUGCCUGAUGUGUGUGCCAAUGGCCUGCAACCGGUCGGUGCAGGCUGGGCCAACACCCAGCCAUUCGCGGCGACAGGCGUGAAAUGUUAGCGCAGAACUCCCUUGGGCUGCGUAGCUCUGGCGUUUACCAUCCUCCGGUACAUGAGCGGCUGCUGCGGCGGCCAGCGGCAGAAGCACGGCCAGGGAGGCGGUGUUGACUGACGCGGCGUCGCACACCAGCAUUCUGCCUGGCCUGAAGAGAAACACUGUGAUGUUGUUUGGUCGGCUGCUGUGUCCUCGAUCCAGACCACGCGGCUCGUGGACGAGGAUGCCAUGGCUACCGAGCAGCUGCGGCCCGGCCCGCUCAACGAAUGUCGAGGAAAAUGUGACAAACAGGAGUAAGGAAGAAGAAGAAGAAGAAGAAGAAGAAGAAGAAGAAGAAGAAGGUGACAAGUGACAAGUAAAAAAAUCCUAAAAUAGAUUCAGGACUCCCUGCGUGUUCUGA
Molecule: long non-coding RNA, 602 nt
Organism: Portunus trituberculatus (swimming crab)
Lineage: Eukaryota; Metazoa; Arthropoda; Malacostraca; Decapoda; Portunidae
Exons: 3
Source: RefSeq, a predicted model, not a curated record